This is a non-coding RNA of Xyrichtys novacula (pearly razorfish), 1410 nucleotides long. The record is from the annotation of a GenBank genome assembly. Lineage: Eukaryota; Metazoa; Chordata; Actinopteri; Labriformes; Labridae.
AUUCAAAGAGUGUUUGCCAGUCUUACUAACACUUAAAUAUUGCUUUCUCCCUCUUCCACCUGAGCGGCUGUGUGCCUCUAAACACACCAAAAAAAGUAAGUAUGAGCUUUUUAAUCAGAUCAAAUAUCACUAAAUAUUAUUAUUUAUUGAAUAAAAAUUGAAAGACUUUCUUGCUAACCGAUCUUUGUCUUGUCUCACUUUUGUCUCACUGAGCUUCUUCUGGACACCAAGGCCGAAGAAAGUAAGUAUAAACCUCUGAAUCUGUCUCAUAUCAUUGAUUGUAUUAUUUAUUCUAAGGUUUAACUAGUUGAAACUGCAAAUUUUCAUGAAUUAUAAAGGACGGCCCCAAACCAAUGACUGUCGACUCUCACAUUUCAUUUGGUUGUCAAUGAGAAGAUACUAAUUUCCUACUGCUCACCUUUGUUAAAUUUAUUCUAUUGCUGUCAAGAAAACUGUUGGUCAUUUAUGUCCGAUUAUUGUCAUUAUAAUUCAAAGAGUGUUUGCCAGUCUUACUAACACUUGAAUAUCACUUUUUCCCUCUUCCACCUGAGGGGCUGUGUGCCUCUAAACACACCAAAAAAAGUAAGUAUGAUCUUUUUAAUCAGUUUAAAUAUCACUUGAUACUAUUAUUUAUUGAAUUAUAGUUUUAUGACUUUCUUGCUAACCAAUCUUUGUCUUGUCUCACUGAGCUUCUCUUGGACACCGAGGCCGAAGAAAGUAAGUAUAAGCUUCUGAAUCUGUUUAAUUUAAGAUAUUGAAUAAUAGUUUUAUGACUUUCUUGCUAACCAAUCUUUGUCUUAUCUCCCCUUUGUCCUACAUUGUCUCCUGAGCUCCUCCUGGUCCCUGAGGAUGAAGAAGGUCUGUCUGAGUUUGUUAACCUGGACCAGGGUGGCAAUACACAUUGCUUGCCAGCUCAGUAAUGUGUGGAGGACGAAAAGAGACAGAAUGAAAUAAAUAAAUACAUCUUCAAAUAAAUACUUACGUAUGUCAUUAAUUAAUGAAAAUGGGAAUUUAAUAGGCAACAUUAAUGUGCCAUUAAAUGUGUCAUUAAUUUAUUAAAAUAACAGUUUAUUCAAUGUCAAAAUAUAUUUACUUAUUUCACUAUUUAAUCAAUUAGCCUAUUUCAUGGACCUGUGUUGCAUCGCUUCAUGAACUUAUUUUAUCUGUCAAACUCACCCAUCAAAGUCAGUGGGCAGAUCCUAACACCUGAUUGGUUACCUGGCACAUCAAGUCAAAACAGAUCGACUCCAGCUAAUGGAUUGACGCAGCAGUGUAGGAAGAAAACUCAGCAUUGAAACGCUCCGUACAGAGUGUUUCUGCGCAGAAUUAAAGGCAUAGAAUAGAUACUAUUUUUUGUUACAAAUUUUUCAGUUUCAACAAAAACUGAGUUAGAUAAAACCUGCUGGAGGC